AGGUAAUACAUCGGAACGUGUCUUCUAGUGGGGGAUAACUGCCCGAAAGGGCAGCUAAUACCGCAUGAGACCUGAGGGUGAAAGCGGGGGAUCGCAAGACCUCGCGCUGGAAGAGCGGCCGAUGUCCGAUUAGCUAGUUGGUGAGGUAAAGGCUCACCAAGGCGACGAUCGGUAGCUGGUCUGAGAGGACGACCAGCCACACUGGGACUGAGACACGGCCCAG
This 223-nucleotide ribosomal RNA is filed under the name uncultured bacterium. RNAcentral's name for it is "partial 16S ribosomal RNA". It matches the Rfam family "Bacterial small subunit ribosomal RNA", at positions 108 to 334 of the family's 1533-position model. The record is from RNAcentral.